This 394-nucleotide ribosomal RNA is filed under the name uncultured bacterium. Its description in RNAcentral is "partial 16S ribosomal RNA". It matches the Rfam family "Bacterial small subunit ribosomal RNA", at positions 523 to 918 of the family's 1533-position model. The record is from RNAcentral.
AUACGUAGGGAGCGAGCGUUGUCCGGAAUUACUGGGCGUAAAGGGCGCGUAGGCGGCGCUUCAAGUCGUCUGUCAAAUGGGAGGGCUUAACCCUUUUUCGCAGACGAAACUGGAGAGCUUGAGAAGCAGAGAGGCAAACAGACUUCCUGGUGUAGCGGUGAAAUGCGUAGAUAUCAGGAAGAAUACCAGUGGCGAAGGCGGUUUGCUGGCUGCAUACUGACGCUGAAGCGCGAAAGCCAGGGGAGCAAACGGGAUUAGAUACCCCGGUAGUCCUGGCAGUAAACGAUGUAUGCUGGGUGUGAGACUAGCGAUAGUUUCGUGCCGAAGUUAACGCGAUAAGCAUACCGCCUGGGGAGUACGGUCGCAAGAUUGAAACUCAAAGGAAUUGGCGGGG